RNAcentral lists this small nucleolar RNA (81 nucleotides) under Tursiops truncatus (common bottlenose dolphin). RNAcentral's name for it is "Small nucleolar RNA SNORD83 (ENSTTRG00000022506.1)". It matches the Rfam family "Small nucleolar RNA SNORD83". From Rfam's summary of the family: U83 (SNORD83) and U84 (SNORD84) are members of the C/D class of snoRNA which contain the C (UGAUGA) and D (CUGA) box motifs. They act as guanine methylation guides but lack complementarity to ribosomal RNA. The record is from RNAcentral. Lineage: Eukaryota; Metazoa; Chordata; Mammalia; Artiodactyla; Delphinidae.
GCCACAUGAUGUUUUCAUUUUGAAUAUAUGUGAGCGCUUUGCGUAAUGACGACCAUAAUCUAUCACCCUUGACUGAUGGCU